Molecule: ribosomal RNA, 495 nt
Filed under: uncultured bacterium
Lineage: Bacteria
Description: partial 16S ribosomal RNA
Rfam family: Bacterial small subunit ribosomal RNA
Source: RNAcentral
GACGAACGCUGGCGGCGUGCCUAAUACAUGCAAGUAGAACGCUGAAGGAGGAGCUUGCUUCUCUGGAUGUGUUGCGAACGGGUGAGUAACGCGUAGGUAACCUGCCUGGUAGCGGGGGAUAACUAUUGGAAACGAUAGCUAAUACCGCAUAAUAGUAGAUGUUGCAUGACAUUUGCUUAAAAGGUGCAAUUGCAUCACUACCAGAUGGACCUGCGUUGUAUUAGCUAGUUGGUGGGGUAACGGCUCACCAAGGCGACGAUACAUAGCCGACCUGAGAGGGUGAACGGCCACACUGGGAACGAGACAAGGCCCAGAACCCUAAGGGAGGCAGCAGGAGGGAAACUUCGGCAAUGGACGGAAGUCUGACCGAGCAAAGCCGCGUGAGGGGAGAAGGUUUUCGGAUCGUAAAGCUCGGUUGUAAGAGAAGAAAGAGUGUGAGAGUGGAAAGUUCACACUGUGACGGUAUCUUAACAGAAAGGGACGGCUAACUACGUG